This 239-nucleotide long non-coding RNA is filed under the name Gallus gallus (chicken). The record is from RNAcentral. Lineage: Eukaryota; Metazoa; Chordata; Aves; Galliformes; Phasianidae.
GUCAUUAUUAUUUAUCCUCUUGGAGUUUUUGUGUAUACUAUUUACUUUAGAGUACAGAUCACCACUGAACAGAAGAUGUUAUACGUUCACAGUAAACAAAAAUGCAGAUUAGGUGCUGGAUUUCAGUUCACAGAUAGAAAUUCACUUGUCAGUCACCCUGGGGAUGCUUAUACAAAAACCCCAUGGUUUGCACAAAUAGUGUCAGUUUAAAGUUUUUAGAUAGCCAUUUUAUAUAUGAC